UUUAAUAAAACCUAUUUAUUUUGACGGCAAUUAAUCUUAUUAAAGGAACUUGUUUAUUAAUCGAUAAUACACGAUAAUUUUCACUUUAAUUAUAUAAUUUAUAUAUCGCCCAUUUAAAGAAUUAAUUUCCAUAAAUUAUUCUAAAUAUAUAUAUAUAUAUAUAUUAUAAUAAAUUAGGUCAAGGUGUAAUUAAAAUUUUAGAUAAAAUGAGUUACAAUAAAAAUAUUUAAGAAUUAAUAAAAUUAAAGUUUUUUAUGAAAAAGAAUUUAUAUGU
Molecule: ribosomal RNA, 274 nt
Filed under: Spinoctenus stephaniae
Lineage: Eukaryota; Metazoa; Arthropoda; Arachnida; Araneae; Ctenidae
Description: partial small subunit ribosomal RNA
Source: RNAcentral